This 928-nucleotide ribosomal RNA is filed under the name uncultured Cyphobasidiales. Its description in RNAcentral is "SSU rRNA". It matches the Rfam family "Eukaryotic small subunit ribosomal RNA", at positions 466 to 1420 of the family's 1831-position model. The record is from RNAcentral. Lineage: Eukaryota; Fungi; Basidiomycota; Cystobasidiomycetes; Cyphobasidiales.
AGUGACAAUAAAUAACAAUAUAGGGCUCUUUUGGGUCUUAUAAUUGGAAUGAGUACAAUUUAAAUCCCUUAACGAGGAUCAAUUGGAGGGCAAGUCUGGUGCCAGCAGCCGCGGUAAUUCCAGCUCCAAUAGCGUAUAUUAAAGUUGUUGCCGUUAAAAAGCUCGUAGUCGAACUUCGGCCUUUGCCGCCCGGUCCGCCUAUUUGGGUGUGUACUGGAGCGGNGGAGGCUUACCUCGUGGUGAGCAAUCAUACCCUUUACUGGGCGUGGUUGGGAACCAUGAUUUUUACUUUGAAAAAAUUAGAGUGUUCAAAGCAGGCUUACGCCCGAAUACAUUAGCAUGGAAUAAUAAAAUAGGACGUGCGGUUCUAUUUUGUUGGUUUCUAGGAUCGCCGUAAUGAUUAAUAGGGAUAGUUGGGGGCAUUCGUAUUCAAUUGCUAGAGGUGAAAUUCUUGGAUUUAUUGAAGACGAACUACUGCGAAAGCAUUUGCCAAGGAUGUUUUCAUUGAUCAAGAACGAAGGUUAGGGGAUCGAAAACGAUCAGAUACCGUUGUAGUCUUAACAGUAAACGAUGCCGACUAGGGAUCGGACGAGGAUUUUUAAUGACUCGUUCGGCACCUGAAGAGAAAUCUUUAAGUCUAGGUUCGGGGGGGAGUAUGGUCGCAAGGCUGAAACUUAAAGGAAUUGACGGAAGGGCACCACCAGGUGUGGAGCCUGCGGCUUAAUUUGACUCAACACGGGGAAACUCACCAGGUCCAGACACGACAAGGAUUGACAGAUUGAUAGCUCUUUCUUGAUUUCGUGGUUGGUGGUGCAUGGCCGUUCUUAGUUGGUGGAGUGAUUUGUCUGGUUAAUUCCGAUAACGAACGAGACCUUAACCUGCUAAAUAGCCCGGCCGGCUUUGGCUGGUCGCCGGCUUCUAGAGGGAC